Molecule: unclassified non-coding RNA, 525 nt
Filed under: Hevea brasiliensis (rubber tree)
Lineage: Eukaryota; Viridiplantae; Streptophyta; Magnoliopsida; Malpighiales; Euphorbiaceae
Source: RNAcentral
UAUUUAUGGUACAUAUCUUAACAAUUCUAUUGACUAAUUGAACUAACCAGGUCACACUGGUUCAUUGGUUCAACCGCCAGGGUCAAUCGGGUAACAUCGGGUUGGUUCUUUAUCUUGUUUAAUUACAAACCCGAACCAGUAUGAGGAUCGGUUCACCGGUUCGGUCCGAGUUUAAUAACUAUGAGUUUAACAAUGUAAUUGCAAGUAAAUUUCAAAGGAGUUAGAUCAAUGUAUAUCUCCAAAUAUAUUUUUGAUUACUUUGUAAAAUUGAAUGCUAGAGAAAACCCCAUUUUUCAUUCAAGUGAUUCUUGAGAUAGGUUCAGCAUGAGAGUGUUGUCUUUAGGUUCUAGAUUAUAUAGAGGAAUACUUUUCAUCUAGCAUAUGUCUUGACCUUCUUGGGUAAGUAGGAAUGACUAAAUGUUCAAUCUCCUUUUAGUUUGGAUUAGUGAUCUAUGUUGUCUUGUUGAAUGAAUAUGGGGUGGUAAUUGCAGCUGUGGAUGUUUGUGUAUAUGGCUUAUGAAGUGA